CAUGCAAGUCGAGCGAACUGAUUAGAAGCUUGCUUCUAUGACGUUAGCGGCGGACGGGUGAGUAACACGUGGGCAACCUGCCUGUAAGACUGGGAUAACUUCGGGAAACCGAAGCUAAUACCGGAUAGGAUCUUCUCCUUCAUGGGAGCUGAUUGAAAGAUGGUUUCGGCUAUCACUUACAGAUGGGCCCGCGGUGCAUUAGCUAGUUGGUGAGGUAACGGCUCACCAAGGCAACGAUGCAUAGCCGACCUGAGAGGGUGAUCGGCCACACUGGGACUGAGACACGGCCCAGACUCCUACGGGAGGCAGCAGUAGGGAAUCUUCCGCAAUGGACGAAAGUCUGACGGAGCAACGCCGCGUGAGUGAUGAAGGCUUUCGGGUCGUAAAACUCUGUUGUUAGGGAAGAACAAGUACGAGAGUAACUGCUCGUACCUUGACGGUACCUAACCAGAAAGCCACGGCUAACUACGUGCCAGCAGCCGCGGUAAUACGUAGGUGGCAAGCGUUAUCCGGAAUUAUUGGGCGUAAAGCGCGCGCAGGCGGUUUCUUAAGUCUGAUGUGAAAGCCCACGGCUCAACCGUGGAGGGUCAUUGGAAACUGGGGAACUUGAGUGCAGAAGAGAAAAGCGGAAUUCCACGUGUAGCGGUGAAAUGCGUAGAGAUGUGGAGGAACACCAGUGGCGAAGGCGGCUUUUUGGUCUGUAACUGACGCUGAGGCGCGAAAGCGUGGGGAGCAAACAGGAUUAGAUACCCUGGUAGUCCACGCCGUAAACGAUGAGUGCUAAGUGUUAGAGGGUUUCCGCCCUUUAGUGCUGCAGCUAACGCAUUAAGCACUCCGCCUGGGGAGUACGGUCGCAAGACUGAAACUCAAAGGAAUUGACGGGGGCCCGCACAAGCGGUGGAGCAUGUGGUUUAAUUUCGAAGCAACGCGA
This 931-nucleotide ribosomal RNA is filed under the name Priestia megaterium. RNAcentral's name for it is "bacterial SSU rRNA". It matches the Rfam family "Bacterial small subunit ribosomal RNA", at positions 54 to 964 of the family's 1533-position model. Lineage: Bacteria; Bacillati; Bacillota; Bacilli; Caryophanales; Bacillaceae. The record is from RNAcentral.